CGAGGUCACAUAGCUCUCUCCCGUGCCAGCGCUGCGCAUGCGUAGUGGUGCGGACUGAGGUCGGAAGGGUGGCUGGGCCGGUAUGCGGUCGUGGCCGCGGUUAGCGGUACCCAAGGGAGGCCCUCCGAGGAACGAGGCGGAGUCGCUUGGCCCGAGGGAAAUAGGUGUUCUCCUUACAGAAUACUCAGUAAUGCGUACUACCUGGCUCGGUCCGAAAGGGGUACACCUGGAUAGUCCGUCCCAAAACAGCCACGGGGAACAGUUGCUCAAGUUUUGUCGUAAAUCGUGCGGUUUUAAAUGCGUCGCUGUAGUCCUUUAUGCAUGAGUUGGAAACAAAUAGGAGCAUUCUGCUUGAAUAGAUAAUUAGUAUUUCUGUAGAAAAUUUUUAACAUCUGUUCGUAUUUUGUCAAGCUUUAUCUGCCUCCUGAGAAACCUAGGAGGGUUGCAAGAUGAUUUGAGCUGGAAGGAUCUGUAUGGAUAAUGUCAUUCCAAGCCUGUGCCAUGUCAGGGACACCUUUCAUCAGAACAGGUUGCUUAGAGUCCUGUCCAGUCUGGCCUUCCAGGGAUGGAGUUUCCAUCCAGUUUCCCUCACCACGCUCACAGUGCUCCAGUCCUGUGAUCACCUUUGCAGACCUCAUCUGGACUCACUCCAGGAGGUUCCUGCCUUUCUUGUGCUGAGUACGCCAGAGCUGGACACAAAACCCCAGGUGAAGGUCUCAGGAGGUCAGAACCGACCUUCUCAUCCUUCAAUCCUCCUCCUCGUCCUUCCAUCUGCUGACCAGGCUGGUUAGGAUGCAGCCUGGGACAUGGUUGUCUUUCUGUGCUCCGCAUGCAACUGGUAGGCUCAUGUCCAGCUUUUCGUCCGCCAGAACCUUGAAAGAAGGAUCUCUGCAGGGCAGCUCACAGUGAAUCUAAAUCUUGCUUCACACACAAAUCCCUAGGGAAAGCUAAUGUAGUGAGGUCUCAACAACUAUCAGGAAGUUACAAACUCUCUAAUUCUGACAUUUUAAAUUCUUCCUUUGAAUUAUGUCGCAGCUAAAAAACCACCAAAAGUAACUCAAAAUCACAUUCUAAAACAGUAGAACAAAUAGAUUGCAAAGGAAAUCCUCUCUGAUACUAGAGAUUAUACCGCCAAAGACAAGAUGAUUCUGAGCUAUUUAAACCAUUCAAUUUUAGUCAGCAAGUAGGUCUUUGGCCUUCAAAUUUAUUAAUGCUAAUUUGGUCACAUUUAUGGGAAAUGUUGCAUGUCAAGAAAAUAACAAAUUCUAAAGGCAUUUGUUCUACUCCAUGUGUUUCUUGCAUGCAGAAUACUAAAGAAAAUCAGUAAGCUCUUUAAAAGGCAAAGUUACAACAAAAAGGUAUCAAUCUUACUGCAGAGAUGGUAAGACAUGAGAUGCAUUUGGAGACCAACUGAUUUGAGGCAUGUUUACUUGUGGAGGUAAGAGUCUCAAAAAUGUUUUAAACAAAAUUCUUAAUCUGGAACUCUUUGGCAUAAGAUUUCAUCACUGAUACAAAUUGGUGGCAUUUUAUGAAAAAUAAUCAAAAUUGGAAGUGAGCAGAAUUGUUUAAUUAACUGAAACAAGAAUUAGCUUGAACUCUAACAAUCACAAUUUCAGAGCUCUAGUAUUUUAAUUCUAGUGUUGUUUGAAUUUGUAUUUCACACAACGAAGACAAGGCCAAAGUUGUUCUAAUCACUAUGGAAAAAUGUAUUUUUGGAUGGAUGUAUAUGGGCUGAGUGGACCUUUGCAGCAGCGAGGUAAAGAAAACUGCCCUGUGCGUUACUGCCAAACACCACUACUGGUACAAACACGAUCUGACCUGUGAAGUUGCUCUCUUGAGUCCUCUUGUCUCAAAGAGCGAGUAAGUUUUAAGAAAAGCAUUAAAGGAGACACAUUUUUACUGCGUGUGCCAGCUAAAUACAAGGCAGUCUUAAGCUGGAGGUUUAUGCCUCAUUAUUCAGAAUCUAUGAAAGUACAUAGUUUUAAUACAUUGGUUCACACAACUAAGCUAUGCACACAAUAUUGAUGCAUGCAUGCACCUCUAUAAGCAUAGAAAAGUUAAUGCUCUCUAAAUGUGCUAUUUCAAAUGAAACACAACAUAAAACAGACAAAUCAAAUAUAUCACUGCUAAAACUAGGCACUCCUCAUUUUAUCUACUGUGUGACAUUUAAGUCAUUACUGCUCUGUUCAAUUAACUUGAAAUUAUGCUUUCUGAUAGCAUUUUUUUCCCCUAAAAAAUCAUGUUACUGAGCAAGUGCCUUCUUGCUGAGCAGUUCAUUAGUGCUAAAAGGUGUGUUGUGAUUUGAUUUAACCACUAUUAAAAGCAGAUAAAACCACUUGUUAAAAGAACUUAAAAAUACAUGUCUCUGAUGGUAGUGUUUCAUUUUAAAAAGCACAGAGACGUUUUGAUGCAUUUUUCUUUGUAUUGUGUCUUGAGGCUUCAUGUACAUUGUUUUAAUAUACAGUAAAGUAUCUUACAAACAAAGUCAUAACAGCAUAAUCAGAACAUAACUAUAUCAGCAAUGGGCUGGUACAUGCUGCGGUGUCCCAGAGUGGCAUUUGUGUGUAAAAAAUCUUGUCCUGAGUCACCGGGCUAGAAACUGGCAAAGCAUUCCAGAUGUGUAAUGCAAAAAAAAGGGGAAGUUCUUUGGGAUGUUGUUACUCAGUAGUAGAUGAUGAGUGGACUGCAAUCUGCAGUGCAGUUGGGGAAAAGAUCUUGUGUUUGUGUGCAGGAGCUGGACCACUGAAGGUCUUGCAGGUCAGAACCAGAAUUCUAAAAUUAAUCUUCUGCUUCUCAGAGAAGCAGUGUAGUGGGCAGAGUAACUCUGGUAUGUUGAAGGCUUGGAAGCAAGCUAGCAAUCUGUCAGGAGCAUUCUUUAAAUACUUGGGGAUGGUGCCACAAGCCUUUUUCUCAGUUCCUCAGGCAUACUUAGGAAGUAUAUCCCAAGCACUUGUAAGUAUUACAAACAUAUUAAACAAACAAACAAACAAAACACUGACUAGAAGAAUAUUCUCCAUCUACAAAUCAGAAUAUAAAGGCAGCAUUUGUAAGACUCAGGACUAGGGAUUCUCCAGCCCCUCUUGAUGCUCUGAUCACAUACCUCUCAUUCCUUACAAGAAUGUUGAUUUGUUCAGCUCUAAACCAUAGCAGGGGCCCCAAAUAGACUGACCAUGAGUGGGUGGUGAUCAGGUAAUUACUUAUUCUAGUCCCAUGCUGUCAAAGGGGAGAUGAGGGUCAGGAUGCAAGUUCUGCACCCCCUCCCAGUCCCUCUGACCUCAAGGUCAGUGAUGAAUUUUUUACCUUUCUAUGCUUUCAGGGAAGGGAACAGGUGAGGCUUAGUCAGCUUUGUACAGAGGGCUGCAUGCACAGAAAACCAAGCAGCCUCUCAUUUUUUUCUGUUGUUUCUGUCUACCUUUCAAUGCAUAAACAAAUCAUAUGUGCAGUCCUUUCUUCAGAAAAAUUCCCAAAAGGCUAGCACUGGGAAAUCUGUCGCACAGUCAGCCCUGAAGAAGUUAGCUCUUGUUGUAGUGCAAAGCACUGCACUAAUAAACUGCUGUCUAAUAAGUGAGAGUUAAUAAAAUGAAGUGGUAAACCAACAUGUGAGUUAUGAAGAUCAUCUAUCACUAAUGGGUGUUAUCUAGUGUCCCAUAGAUGCUCAAUAUAUGUUGUUUAUAUCAAAUAAUAAAGUCUUGUGUCAGUAGCAUUAACUGGAGAUGGUGUUCUGUGAUCAUAGAAUAAAAGCUAUCAAGGAGUUUUGUUUAUUGUA
Molecule: non-coding RNA, 3766 nt
Organism: Zonotrichia albicollis (white-throated sparrow)
Lineage: Eukaryota; Metazoa; Chordata; Aves; Passeriformes; Passerellidae
Source: RefSeq, a predicted model, not a curated record